GACGAACGCUGGCGGCGUGCCUAACACAUGCAAGUCGAACGGAAAGUCCGUGCCUUUGUGCGGUGCUCGAGUGGCGAACGGGUGAGUAACACGUGAGUAACCUGUCCCUGACUUUGGGGUAUCUUCAUGACACUGGGGCUAUUAGCGGAUAGGAUCUCCUGCUGCAUGGUGGGCGUUGGUAAGUUUCGGCGGUUGGGGGUGGACUCGCGGCUUAUCAGCUUGUUCGUGGGGUAGUGGAUUACCAUGGCUUGGACGGGUAGCCGGCCUGAGAGGGUGGCCGGCCACAUGACGACUGAGAUACGGCACAGCCUCGAACGGUACGCAGCGGUGGAGAAUAUUGCACAGUAGGAGGGAGCCUGAUGUGACAACGCAGCGUGCGGGAUGACGGGCUUCGAGUAGUGAACCACUGUCGCCUUAGCCGAAGCGUUAGUGACGGUAACGGGUAAAGAAGCACCGGCUAACUACGUG
This 468-nucleotide ribosomal RNA is filed under the name uncultured bacterium. RNAcentral describes it as "partial 16S ribosomal RNA". It matches the Rfam family "Bacterial small subunit ribosomal RNA", at positions 28 to 507 of the family's 1533-position model. The record is from RNAcentral.